CCUACGGGCGGCUGCAGUGGGGAAUAUUGGACAAUGGGGGCAACCCUGAUCCAGCCAUGCCGCGUGUGUGAAGAAGGCCCUCGGGUUGUAAAGCACUUUCAGUGAGGAAGAACGCCUGGUGGUUAAUACCCAUCAGGAAAGACAUCACUCACAGAAGAAGCACCGGCUAACUCCGUGCCAGCAGCCGCGGUAAUACGGAGGGUGCGAGCGUUAAUCGGAAUUACUGGGCGUAAAGCGCGCGUAGGUGGCUUGAUAAGCCGGUUGUGAAAGCCCCGGGCUCAACCUGGGAACGGCAUCCGGAACUGUCAAGCUAGAGUGCAGGAGAGGAAGGUAGAAUUCCCGGUGUAGAGGUGAAAUGCGUAGAGCUCGGGAGGAAUACCAGUGGCGAAGGCGGCCUUCUGGACUGACACUGACACUGAGGUGCGAAGGCGUGGGUAGCAAACAGGAUUAGAUACCCGGGUAGUC
This 465-nucleotide ribosomal RNA is filed under the name Vreelandella stevensii. RNAcentral describes it as "partial 16S ribosomal RNA". It matches the Rfam family "Bacterial small subunit ribosomal RNA", at positions 338 to 795 of the family's 1533-position model. Lineage: Bacteria; Pseudomonadati; Pseudomonadota; Gammaproteobacteria; Oceanospirillales; Halomonadaceae. The record is from RNAcentral.